RNAcentral lists this ribosomal RNA (468 nucleotides) under uncultured bacterium. RNAcentral describes it as "partial 16S ribosomal RNA". It matches the Rfam family "Bacterial small subunit ribosomal RNA", at positions 28 to 507 of the family's 1533-position model. The record is from RNAcentral.
GACGAACGCUGGCGGCGUGCUUAACACAUGCAAGUCGAACGGAAAGGCCCUGCUUUUGUGGGGUGCUCGAGUGGCGAACGGGUGAGUAACACGUGAGUAACCUGCCCUUGACUUUGGGAUAACUUCAGGAAACUGGGGCUAAUACCGGAUAGGAGCUCCUGCUGCAUGGUGGGGGUUGGAAAGUUUCGGCGGUUGGGGAUGGACUCGCGGCUUAUCAGCUUGUUGGUGGGGUAGUGGCUUACCAAGGCUUUGACGGGUAGCCGGCUUGAGAGGGUGACCGGCCACAUUGGGACUGAGAUACGGCCCAGACUCCUACGGGAGGCAGCAGUGGGGAAUAUUGCACAAUGGGCGGAAGCCUGAUGCAGCAACGCCGCGUGCGGGAUGACGGCCUUCGGGUUGUAAACCGCUUUCGCCUGUGACGAAGCGUGAGUGACGGUAAUGGGUAAAGAAGCACCGGCUAACAACGUG